Ictalurus punctatus (channel catfish) is the source of this 1025-nucleotide long non-coding RNA. NCBI's taxonomy places the organism in Eukaryota, Metazoa, Chordata, Actinopteri, Siluriformes, Ictaluridae. The record is from Ensembl.
CUCCAGGCUGUAGCAUCCCGGUGAUGAGAGCUCCACCCAGAGGCGAGUUCAGGUUAAUCAGGUCUCCAGAUGUCGAGUCAGCAACACCAGUGCGCCAAUCGAGAACGUGUACGAGAAGAAAUUGUUCUCAGAAAAUCACACCGAGAACCACGAAGUGGAGAAAUCUCCUCUUCCUCCUCCUCCUAUUCUUCUUUCUUCUCUUCCUCCUUUUCUGCUUCUUCCUCUUCCACCUUUUCCUCAUCUUCCUUUCUUCUGCUCUUUAUCUUCAUCCUCCUCCUCCUCUUUGUUCAUCUUCCUCCUCCUCACCUUCCCUCUCAUCCUCUUCAUCCUUAUCCUGUUCAUCUUCCUUCUUCUUCUCCUACUCAUUUCUCCUUCCCUCCUCCUCCUCCUCUUCCUCUUCCUCUGCCUUACCUUCCUCUUCCUCAUUUUCAUUUUCCUCCUCUUCCUGUCCUUCAUCUUCGUCCCCCUCCUCCUCCUCCUGUUCUUCUUUUUCUCCUCCUCUUCCUCUUCCCCCUCCUCCAUCUCUUCGUCCGAACCCUUCUCUUCCUCCACCUCUUUUUCUUCCUCCUCCUCCUCCUCCUCCUCUUCUUCUCCCUCCUACUUCUUCUCCUCCCUUCUUCCUGUUCUUCCUCUUCCUGAACCAUCUCCUUCUUCUCUUCCUCCUUCGCCUCUUCCACUUCAUCUUCUUUCCUCUCCACCUGUGAAGACAAAAUGCUCUGAAAAAGGUGGACACUUUUGGUUUGAAAGUCGUUUGUCAGCAUUAUUGAUUCGUUCCCUCAUGCGAACCGAAUUACAUUCGAUCCAAUUUGCUUUCCAACACACACACACACACACACACACACACACACACACACACACACACACACACACACACACACACACACACACACACACCCUGCAGCCUUGAUUUGCAUGCCGAGGUGAAGAGGGGCUUUGUUUCUUGAAGCUGGGUCACGCAAUCUAAAGUGUCACUCCUAGGAAUAAAGGAUAGUCUGAGUGCUGGGAACUGAAAUGUGGAAUAAACG